AGCGAACGCUGGCGGCGUGCCUAACACAUGCAAGUCGAACGUGAAAAGGGAAACCUGAGUAAAGUGGCGUACGGGUGAGUAACGCGUAGGUAAUCUACCCCAGAAUCUGGAAUAACCUGCCGAAAGGCGGGCUAAUACUGGAUAGAGCGAGGGAACUCGUAAGAGAGUUUUUCGGGAAAGGGAGCCCGCAAGGGCCUUCGUUCUGGGAUGAGCCUGCGUCUCAUUAGCUAGUUGGUAAGGUAACGGCUUACCAAGGCGAUGAUGAGUAGCUGGUCUGAGAGGAUGAGCAGCCACACUGGAACUGAAACACGGUCCAGACUCCUACGGGAGGCAGCAGUGGGGAAUCGUGCGCAAUGGACGAAAGUCUGACGCAGCCACGCCGCGUGAGUGAAGAAGGCCUUCGGGUUGUAAAGCUCUGUCGGAUGGGACGAACAUCUUCAUAGUGAAUAGCUAUGAGGACUGACGGUACCAUCAAAGGAAGCACCGGCUAACUCCGUG
This 498-nucleotide ribosomal RNA is filed under the name uncultured bacterium. RNAcentral describes it as "partial 16S ribosomal RNA". It matches the Rfam family "Bacterial small subunit ribosomal RNA", at positions 29 to 507 of the family's 1533-position model. The record is from RNAcentral.